CCUCAAAUCAGGUAGGACUACCCGCUGAACUUAAC
This 35-nucleotide ribosomal RNA is filed under the name Leucocoprinus variicolor. Its description in RNAcentral is "Leucoagaricus variicolor partial 28S ribosomal RNA". Lineage: Eukaryota; Fungi; Basidiomycota; Agaricomycetes; Agaricales; Agaricaceae. The record is from RNAcentral.